Non-coding RNA from Trueperella pyogenes, 125 nucleotides. The record is from Rfam. Lineage: Bacteria; Bacillati; Actinomycetota; Actinomycetes; Actinomycetales; Actinomycetaceae.
CACAUGCUCCGGGGUCAGUGAAAAUCUGAACCGGCGGUGAAAGUCCGCGACCCGGCUCCCAGGAGCCGGUUGAUGGGGUGAAAUUCCCCAACCGACGGUAAAAGUCCGGAUGGGAGGAGCACUUA